UCAGGAGAAUGCAUUGGA
RNAcentral lists this small nuclear RNA (18 nucleotides) under Arabidopsis thaliana (thale cress). RNAcentral's name for it is "snRNA_19257". Lineage: Eukaryota; Viridiplantae; Streptophyta; Magnoliopsida; Brassicales; Brassicaceae. The record is from RNAcentral.